RNAcentral lists this ribosomal RNA (497 nucleotides) under uncultured bacterium. Its description in RNAcentral is "partial 16S ribosomal RNA". It matches the Rfam family "Bacterial small subunit ribosomal RNA", at positions 28 to 507 of the family's 1533-position model. The record is from RNAcentral.
GAAGAACGCUGGCGGCGUGCCUAAUACAUGCAAGUCGAGCGAACGGACGAGAAGCUUGCUUCUCUGAUGUUAGCGGCGGACGGGUGAGUAACACGUGGAUAACCUACCUAUAAGACUGGGAUAACUUCGGGAAACCGGAGCUAAUACCGGAUAAUAUUUUGAACCGCAUGGUUCAAAAGUGAAAGACGGUCUUGCUGUCACUUAUAGAUGGAUCCGCGCUGCAUUAGCUAGUUGGUAAGGUAACGGCUUACCAAGGCAACGAUGCAUAGCCGACCUGAGAGGGUGAUCGGCCACACUGGAACUGAGACACGGUCCAGACUCCUACGGGAGGCAGCAGUAGGGAAUCUUCCGCAAUGGGCGAAAGCCUGACGGAGCAACGCCGCGUGAGUGAUGAAGGUCUUCGGAUCGUAAAACUCUGUUAUUAGGGAAGAACAUAUGUGUAAGUAACUGUGCACAUCUUGACGGUACCUAAUCAGAAAGCCACGGCUAACUACGUG